This 469-nucleotide ribosomal RNA is filed under the name uncultured organism. RNAcentral describes it as "partial 16S ribosomal RNA". It matches the Rfam family "Bacterial small subunit ribosomal RNA", at positions 335 to 796 of the family's 1533-position model. The record is from RNAcentral.
ACUCCUGCGGGAGGCAGCAGUGGGGAAUUUUGGACAAUGGGCGAAAGCCUGAUCCAGCAAUGCCGCGUGAGUGAAGAAGGCCUUCGGGUUGUAAAGCUCUUUUGUCAGGGAAGAAACGGUGAGAGCUAAUAUCUUUUGCUAAUGACGGUACCUGAAGAAUAAGCACCGGCUAACUACGUGCCAGCAGCCGCGGUAAUACGUAGGGUGCAAGCGUUAAUCGGAAUUACUGGGCGUAAAGCGUGCGCAGGCGGUUUUGUAAGUCUGAUGUGAAAUCCCCGGGCUCAACCUGGGAAUUGCAUUGGAGACUGCAAGGCUAGAAUCUGGCAGAGGGGGGUAGAAUUCCACGUGUAGCAGUGAAAUGCGUAGAUAUGUGGAGGAACACCGAUGGCGAAGGCAGCCCCCUGGGUCAAGAUUGACGCUCAUGCACGAAAGCGUGGGGAGCAAACAGGAUUAGAUACCCCUGUAGUCC